AUGUCUGCCGUCACACUAUGCUUCGCCGCGAGGUCCAGCAUCUCCUGGGUGUCCCUCAUGCCGCCGAUGAAGCUCCCGGCCAGGGUCUUGUUCUCUGGAGGGACCUCGACAGGCUUCUCUGGGAGGCCGACCAUGACCAUCUUGCCGUUGGGCUUGAGCAGCCCGAAGAGAGGGGCCAUGGGGAUGUUUGCAGACACCGUGUUUAUGAUGCCAUCCAUGGUGCUCAUCGCAGGCAUACCUUCAUCUCGUCGGCGUUCUUGCUGA
Molecule: ribosomal RNA, 264 nt
Filed under: Triticum aestivum (bread wheat)
Lineage: Eukaryota; Viridiplantae; Streptophyta; Magnoliopsida; Poales; Poaceae
Description: partial small subunit ribosomal RNA
Source: RNAcentral